GUGUGGCAACAAAUUUCACGAGUCACACAAAUCCUUUUUUUUUGCUGUACGGCAAGGGAGCUGCUUGUAUACACGUGAUGGGAGUCUCACAUCAUCACUUAUUUUAGGACAAAAGCUUGAUCAGGGUGGGAAGAGAGAGCGACAAAGGGAAAUUAUGAUUGUUAGGAAAGAAAAUAUAAAUAGAGGUGUUUAGGAAAUUGGAAGAAUAAAAAUAUUUGUUGCUUUUAUAUAGUGUCGAG
This 239-nucleotide long non-coding RNA is filed under the name Elaeis guineensis (African oil palm). Its description in RNAcentral is "long non-coding RNA (EGUI_LNC019115)". The record is from RNAcentral. Lineage: Eukaryota; Viridiplantae; Streptophyta; Magnoliopsida; Arecales; Arecaceae.